This 1402-nucleotide ribosomal RNA is filed under the name uncultured organism. RNAcentral's name for it is "bacterial SSU rRNA". It matches the Rfam family "Bacterial small subunit ribosomal RNA". The record is from RNAcentral.
AGAACGAACGCUGGCGGCGUGGAUAAGACAUGCAAGUCGGACGGAGCUUGCCUGGUAGCAAUACCGGGCAAGUCGAGUGGCGAACGGGUGAGUAACACGUGAGAAUCUACCCGAGAGUGGGGGAUAGCUCGCCGAAAGGCGAAUUAAUACCGCAUACCCAAAGCAGCAAUGCGCUCCCGGAUGAGCUCGCGCCUUAUCAGCUUGUUGGUAGGGUAAUGGCCUACCAAGGCAUUGACGAGUAGCUGGUCUGAGAGGACUACCAGCCACACUGGAACUGAGACACGGUCCAGACACCUACGGGUGGCAGCAGUCGAGAAUCAUUCACAAUGGGCGAAAGCCUGAUGGUGCGACGCCGCGUGGAGGAUGAAGGCCUUAGGGUCGUAAACUCCUGUCAUCGGGGAACAAAGCCCGCAAGGGUCUGAUAGUACCCGAAGAGGAAGUCACGGCUAACUCUGUGCCAGCAGCCGCGGUAAUACAGAGGUGACAAGCGUUGUUCGGAUUCACUGGGCGUAAAGGGCGCGUAGGUGGCGAGGUAAGUUGAUGGUUAAAUUUCGGAGCUCAACUCCGAAACCGCUCUCAAUACUGCUUUGCUAGAGGACUGUAGAGGAGACUGGAAUUCACGGUGUAGCAGUGAAAUGCGUAGAUAUCGUGAGGAAGACCAGUGGCGAAAGCGAGUCUCUGGGCAGUUCCUGACACUGAGGCACGAAGGCUAGGGGAGCGAACGGGAUUAGAUACCCCGGUAGUCCUAGCAGUAAACGGUGCACGUUUGGUGUGGGAAGAUUCGACCCUUUCCGUGCCGUAGCUAACGCGUUAAACGUGCCGCCUGAGGAGUACGGUCGCAAGAUUAAAACUCAAAGAAAUUGACGGGGGCCCGCACAAGCGGUGGAGUAUGUGGCUUAAUUCGAUGCUACGCGAAGAACCUUACCUGGCCUUGACAUGCAUCUCUAAACCGGUGAAAGCCGGGGAGUGUAGCAAUACACAAUUUGCACAGGUGCUGCAUGGCUGUCGUCAGCUCGUGUCGUGAGAUGUUGGGUUAAGUCCCGCAACGAGCGCAACCCCUGUGAUUAGUUGCCACUCCGCAAGGAAGCACUCUAAUCAGACUGCCCUGUGAAACGGGGAGGAAGGUGGGGAUGACGUCGAGUCAGUAUGGCCCUUACGGCCAGGGCUGCACACGUACUACAAUGCCCAGUACAGAAUGAACCGAGACCGCGAGGUGGAGGAAAUCUCUAAAACUGGGCCCAGUUCGGAUUGUAGGCUGCAACUCGCCUACAUGAAGCCGGAAUCGCUAGUAAUGGCGCAUCAGCUACGGCGCCGUGAUACGUUCCCGGGCAUUGUACACACCGCCCGUCACAUCAUGGAAAUCACUUGUACCCGAAGUCCGUGCGCUACCUGCAAAGGAGCA